AGGCUGCAACUCGCCUACAUGAAGUCGGAAUCGCUAGUAAUCGCGGAUCAGCACGCCGCGGUGAAUACGUUCCCGGGCCUUGUACACACCGCCCGUCACACCACGAGAGUUUGUAACACCCGAAGUCGGUGAGGUAACCUAUUAGGAGCCAGCCGCCUAAGGUGGGAUAGAUGAUUGGGGUNAAGUCGUAACAAGGUAGC
RNAcentral lists this ribosomal RNA (200 nucleotides) under uncultured bacterium. RNAcentral's name for it is "partial 16S ribosomal RNA". It matches the Rfam family "Bacterial small subunit ribosomal RNA", at positions 1302 to 1500 of the family's 1533-position model. The record is from RNAcentral.